AUCCACACCACUUGGUGUCAGUAUAAGAAACAUGGUUGACCAAUGAAACUGUCAAACGAGUUCAGAAAUCCAAUUCAGUGUUUUCUUGCGUGAUUUCAGAGUAUCACAGCUCUAUCAAUGGCCUCAAACAGGAGCUUGCGGAUUCCAUCAUGUACUCCGUCAGAGGACACCCUUUAAAGAGGGAAGAGUCAUCUGCCUCCCGUGGUCUUCCAACGCACAGACCACCAGGGGAAGUGAGGGAGCGAAAAAGAAAGCAAGAGAAAGAUAACUGAGGAGAUUGGACAGUCGGGAGCUUUUGAAGAGAAGACAGACCAAAUUCUGUCCUCAAGAACAGCGAUAACGGACGUGGGGUCCCACUGGGGGAUGGGACAGAGAAGUAUAUAUGAAAUAUGAAAGAAGAUGACAGUUUUAUCUGUUUGCAGAACAUGUGGACAGUGUGGACUGUUGUCCUUUCACCUGGAGCCAAGACUCAUGAACUACAUGGUUGAGAGUGUUGGGAAAUAUGCAUCCUGUUUUACGGUCGGCAAACUUCUGUUGACUGAAUACAAUAGUUAAAAAUCGGAGGCUUUUUCAGGCCAUUCAUGGAGGUUCUUUGUAUGAAAAAGGUCAAAUAAAGGGUGUUUUGACAAUAUUUUGGUGGCAUGUGCACCAGUGAGGUGAGCAUAUUGAGUUCAAAACAGAAAUGAGAGAGCAUCGGAGGAAAAGAUCAAUAGAUGGAUGAAUGAAUGGGUGAAGUGAGUCAGUAUACAGCUAUUCACUGUCCCUGUGCCCCUUUUGUCCUUUCUGUGCUAUUUGGUUAAAAUCUCUUUUAUCUCUGCUGGUGCCAGCCUCUGAUGCAUAAACACUCCAGACUGACUCCUUUUGCUUUGAUAGAGGGACAGAAAAUGAAAGGAAGCAAAAACCGCAUUAGCGUUUCAGCAUCAGUAAGAAUAUCCCGUAUCCGGCCUGUCAUUCAUUUCAUUUUACACUUCUUCAUUUCUUUUACACGGUACAUUUCCUCCUUGACCUGUACUGAAGUCAUCCAUGAUACUGUUCUUAUAUAAGAAUAUAUUGUAUCCUGUUGAUUUAAGUAUUCUGGUCAAGGAUUUUUUCAUCAAAGUAUGUGGGUUAAUUUAGUUUUCAAAUUAAAUUAAAAUAUAUGAUAAUGUGUAUGGAAUUGUCAGACUUAUGGGUCCCAGGAGAUAAUUUUUAUGGACAUUUUAGAGCCAUUUUUACUGG
This is a long non-coding RNA of Cyprinus carpio (common carp), 1218 nucleotides long. RefSeq lists it as uncharacterized. The record is from RefSeq and is a predicted model, not a curated record. The transcript has 3 exons. Lineage: Eukaryota; Metazoa; Chordata; Actinopteri; Cypriniformes; Cyprinidae.